Molecule: ribosomal RNA, 696 nt
Filed under: uncultured bacterium
Lineage: Bacteria
Description: bacterial SSU rRNA
Rfam family: Bacterial small subunit ribosomal RNA
Source: RNAcentral
AACGCUAGCUACAGGCUUAACACAUGCAAGUCGAGGGGAAACGACAUCGAAAGCUUGCUUUUGAUGGGCGUCGACCGGCGCACGGGUGAGUAACGCGUAUCCAACCUGCCCACCACUUGGGGAUAACCUUGCGAAAGUAAGACUAAUACCCAAUGAUAUCUCUAGAAGACAUCUGAAAGAAAUUAAAGAUUUAUCGGUGAUGGAUGGGGAUGCGUCUGAUUAGCUUGUUGGCGGGGUAACGGCCCACCAAGGCUACGAUCAGUAGGGGUUCUGAGAGGAAGGUCCCCCACAUUGGAACUGAGACACGGUCCAAACUCCUACGGGAGGCAGCAGUGAGGAAUAUUGGUCAAUGGGCGAGAGCCUGAACCAGCCAAGUAGCGUGCAGGAAGACGGCCCUAUGGGUUGUAAACUGCUUUUAUAAGGGAAUAAAGUGAGAGUCGUGACUCUUUUUGCAUGUACCUUAUGAAUAAGGACCGGCUAAUUCCGUGCCAGCAGCCGCGGUAAUACGGAAGGUCCGGGCGUUAUCCGGAUUUAUUGGGUUUAAAGGGAGCGUAGGCCGGAGAUUAAGCGUGUUGUGAAAUGUAGUUGCUCAACAUCUGCACUGCAGCGCGAACUGGUUCCCUUGAGUACGCACAAAGUGGGCGGAAUUCGUGGUGUAGCGGUGAAAUGCUUAGAUAUCACGAAGAACUCCGAUUG